AACGAACGCUGGCGGCAUGCCUAAUACAUGCAAGUCGAACGAGAUCUUCGGAUCUAGUGGCGCACGGGUGCGUAACGCGUGGGAAUCUGCCCUUGGGUUCGGAAUAACUUCUGGAAACGGAAGCUAAUACCGGAUGAUGACGUAAGUCCAAAGAUUUAUCGCCCAAGGAUGAGCCCGCGUAGGAUUAGCUAGUUGGUGGGGUAAAGGCCCACCAAGGCGACGAUCCUUAGCUGGUCUGAGAGGAUGAUCCGCCACACUGGGACUGAGACACGGCCCAGACUCCUACGGGAGGCAGCAGUAGGGAAUAUUGGACAAUGGGCGAAAGCCUGAUCCAGCAAUGCCGCGUGAGUGAUGAAGGCCUUAGGGUUGUAAAGCUCUUUUACCCGGGAUGAUAAUGACAGUACCGGGAGAAUAAGCUCCGGCUAACUCCGUG
This 433-nucleotide ribosomal RNA is filed under the name uncultured bacterium. RNAcentral describes it as "partial 16S ribosomal RNA". It matches the Rfam family "Bacterial small subunit ribosomal RNA", at positions 29 to 507 of the family's 1533-position model. The record is from RNAcentral.